UACGUAGGGGGCUAGCGUUGUCCGGAUUUAUUGGGCGUAAAGAGCGUGUAGGCGGCCAGGUAGGUUUGCUGUGAAAACUCGAGGCUCAACCUCGAGACGUCGGCGGAAACCAUCUGGCUAGAGUCCGGAAGAGGAGAGUGGAAUUCCUGGUGUAGCGGUGAAAUGCGCAGAUAUCAGGAAGAACACCCGUGGCGAAGGCGGCUCUCUGGGACGGUACUGACGCUGAGACGCGAAAGCGUGGGGAGCGAACAGG
RNAcentral lists this ribosomal RNA (253 nucleotides) under uncultured bacterium. Its description in RNAcentral is "partial 16S ribosomal RNA". It matches the Rfam family "Bacterial small subunit ribosomal RNA", at positions 524 to 776 of the family's 1533-position model. The record is from RNAcentral.